This 76-nucleotide transfer RNA is filed under the name Tenericutes bacterium ADurb.Bin140. Its description in RNAcentral is "tRNA-Ala". It matches the Rfam family "tRNA". Rfam says of the family: Transfer RNA (tRNA) molecules are approximately 80 nucleotides in length. Their secondary structure includes four short double-helical elements and three loops (D, anti-codon, and T loops). Further hydrogen bonds mediate the characteristic L-shaped molecular structure. tRNAs have two regions of fundamental functional importance: the anti-codon, which is responsible for specific mRNA codon recognition, and the 3' end, to which the tRNAs corresponding amino acid is attached (by aminoacyl-tRNA synthetases). tRNAs cope with the degeneracy of the genetic code in two manners: having more than one tRNA (with a specific anti-codon) for a particular amino acid; and 'wobble' base-pairing, i.e. permitting non-standard base-pairing at the 3rd anti-codon position. RNAcentral also lists the same sequence under 2 other names. Lineage: Bacteria; Bacillati; Mycoplasmatota. The record is from RNAcentral.
GGGUCCUUAGCUCAGCUGGGAGAGCACCUGUUUUGCACGCAGGGGGUCGAGGGUUCGAGUCCCUUAGGAUCCACCA